Molecule: ribosomal RNA, 400 nt
Filed under: uncultured bacterium
Lineage: Bacteria
Description: bacterial SSU rRNA
Rfam family: Bacterial small subunit ribosomal RNA
Source: RNAcentral
UGGGGAAUUUUGGACAAUGGGCGCAAGCCUGAUCCAGCCAUGCCGCGUGAGUGAAGAAGGCCUUCGGGUUGUAAAGCUCUUUCAGACGGAAAGAAAUCGGUGUGUCUAAUACACGCACUGGAUGACGGUACCGUAAGAAGAAGCACCGGCUAACUACGUGCCAGCAGCCGCGGUAAUACGUAGGGUGCGAGCGUUAAUCGGAAUUACUGGGCGUAAAGCGUGCGCAGGCGGUUAUGUAAGACAGAUGUGAAAUCCCCGGGCUCAACCUGGGAACUGCGUUUGUGACUGCAUAACUAGAGUACGGCAGAGGGAGGUGGAAUUCCACGUGUAGCAGUGAAAUGCGUAGAGAUGUGGAGGAACACCGAUGGCGAAGGCAGCCUCCUGGGCCAGUACUGACGCU